AUUGAACGCUAGCGGCGGGCCUAACACAUGCAAGUCGAACGAGUGGCGGACGGGUGAGUAAUGUCUGGGAACCUGCCUGAUGGAGGGGGAUAACUACUGGAACCGGUAGCUAAUACCGCAUACCAUCAGAUGUGCCCAGAUGGGAUUAGCUAGUUGGUGGGGUGACGGGUCACCAAGGCGACGAUCCCUAGCUGGUCUGAUAGGAUGACCAGGCACACUGGAACUGUGACACGGUCCAGACUCCUACGGGAGGAAGCAGUGGAGAAGAUGGGACAAUGGGCGAAAGCCUGAUGCAGCGAUGCCGCGUGUAUGAAGAGGGCCUUCGGGUUGUAAAGUACUUUCAGCGUGGAGGCGUUACCCGCAGAAGAAGCACCGGCUAACUACGUGCCAGCAGCCGCGGUAAUAC
RNAcentral lists this ribosomal RNA (406 nucleotides) under uncultured bacterium. Its description in RNAcentral is "partial 16S ribosomal RNA". It matches the Rfam family "Bacterial small subunit ribosomal RNA", at positions 30 to 526 of the family's 1533-position model. The record is from RNAcentral.